RNAcentral lists this ribosomal RNA (507 nucleotides) under Clostridioides difficile. Its description in RNAcentral is "bacterial SSU rRNA". It matches the Rfam family "Bacterial small subunit ribosomal RNA", at positions 1017 to 1524 of the family's 1533-position model. Lineage: Bacteria; Bacillati; Bacillota; Clostridia; Peptostreptococcales; Peptostreptococcaceae. The record is from RNAcentral.
CCUUCGGGGACAUUGGUGACAGGUGGUGCAUGGUUGUCGUCAGCUCGUGUCGUGAGAUGUUGGGUUAAGUCCCGCAACGAGCGCAACCCUUGUCUUUAGUUGCCAUCAUUAAGUUGGGCACUCUAGAGAGACUGCCAGGGAUAACCUGGAGGAAGGUGGGGAUGACGUCAAAUCAUCAUGCCCCUUAUGCUUAGGGCUACACACGUGCUACAAUGGGUAGUACAGAGGGUUGCCAAGCCGUAAGGUGGAGCUAAUCCCUUAAAGCUACUCUCAGUUCGGAUUGUAGGCUGAAACUCGCCUACAUGAAGCUGGAGUUACUAGUAAUCGCAGAUCAGAAUGCUGCGGUGAAUGCGUUCCCGGGUCUUGUACACACCGCCCGUCACACCACGGGAGUUGGAGACGCCCGAAGCCGAUUAUCUAACCUUUUGGAAGAAGUCGUCGAAGGUGGAAUCAAUAACUGGGGUGAAGUCGUAACAAGGUAGCCGUAUCGGAAGGUGCGGCUGGAUC